This 465-nucleotide ribosomal RNA is filed under the name uncultured bacterium. Its description in RNAcentral is "partial 16S ribosomal RNA". It matches the Rfam family "Bacterial small subunit ribosomal RNA", at positions 28 to 507 of the family's 1533-position model. The record is from RNAcentral.
GACGAACGCUGGCGGCGUGCUUAACACAUGCAAGUCGAACGGAAAGGCCCUGCUUGCAGGGUACUCGAGUGGCGAACGGGUGAGCAACACGUGGGUGAUCUGCCCUGCACUUCGGGAUAAGCCUGGGAAACUGGGUCUAAUACCGGAUAGGAGCCAUUUUUAGUGUGAUGGUUGGAAAGUUUUUUCGGUGUAGGAUGAGCUCGCGGCCUAUCAGCUUGUUGGUGGGGUAAUGGCCUACCAAGGCGGCGACGGGUAGCCGGCCUGAGAGGGUGGACGGCCAAGUUGGGACUGUGAGACGGCCCAGACUCCUACGGGAGGCAGCAGUGGGGAAUAUUGCACAAUGGGCGCAAGCCUGAUGCAGCGACGCCGCGUGGGGGAGGACGGCCUUCGGGUUGUAAACUCCUUUCGCUAGGGACGAAGCUUUUUGUGACGGUACCUAGAGAAGAAGCACCGGCUAACUACGUG